GUGUCAGCAGCCGCGGUAAUACGUAGGGGGCAAGCGUUGUCCGGAAUUACUGGGCGUAAAGCGCGCGUAGGCGGGACAGAAAGUCCGGCGUGAAAGCCUCCGGCUCAACCGGAGAGAGCCGUCGGAUACUUUUGUUCUUGAGGGUCGAAGAGGAGAGUGGAAUUCCCGGUGUAGCGGUGAAAUGCGUAGAGAUCGGGAGGAACACCCAUGGCGAAGGCAGCUCUCUGGUCGGCUACUGACGCUGAGGUGCGAAAGCGUGGGGAGCGAACGGGAUUAGAAACCCCCGUAGUCC
RNAcentral lists this ribosomal RNA (292 nucleotides) under uncultured bacterium. RNAcentral describes it as "partial 16S ribosomal RNA". It matches the Rfam family "Bacterial small subunit ribosomal RNA", at positions 505 to 796 of the family's 1533-position model. The record is from RNAcentral.